Molecule: unclassified non-coding RNA, 352 nt
Filed under: soil metagenome
Description: partial contains 5.8S ribosomal RNA, internal transcribed spacer 2, and large subunit ribosomal RNA
Rfam family: 5.8S ribosomal RNA (bases 1-120)
Source: RNAcentral
GAUGAAGAACGUAGCGAAAUGCGAUAAGUAAUGUGAAUUGCAGAAUUCAGUGAAUCAUCGAAUCUUUGAACGCACAUUGCGCCCGCCAGUAUUCUGGCGGGCAUGCCUGUUCGAGCGUCAUUACAACCCUCAGGCCCCCGGGCCUGGCGUUGGGGAUCGGCGGAGCCCCCCGUGGGCACACGCCGCCCCCCAAAUGCAGUGGCGGUCCCGCCGCAGCUUCCAUCGCGUAGUAGCUAACACCUCGCGACUGGAGAGCGGCGCGGCCACGCCGUAAAACACCCAACUCUUCUGAAGUUGACCUCGAAUCAGGUAGGAAUACCCGCUGAACUUAAGCAUAUCAAUAAGCGGAGGA